GUGCUCGCUUUGGCAGCAUAUAUACUAAAAUAGGAAUAAUACAGAAAAGAUUGGCAUGACCCUUGUGCAAGAAUGAGACACAAAUUCAGGAAGCAUUCCAUAUUUUU
Gracilinanus agilis (Agile Gracile Mouse Opossum) is the source of this 107-nucleotide small nuclear RNA. The record is from RefSeq and is a predicted model, not a curated record. NCBI's taxonomy places the organism in Eukaryota, Metazoa, Chordata, Mammalia, Didelphimorphia, Didelphidae.